CUGCUGCCUUCCGUAGGAGUUUGGACCGUGUCUCAGUUCUAAUGUGGGGGACCUUCCUCUCAGAACCCCUACUGAUCGUCGCCCCGGUGGGCCGUUACCCCGCCGGCAAGCUAAUCAGACGCAUCCCCAUCCUUUACCGGCCGAAGCCUUUGGUCAUGAAAAUAUGCAUCAACAUGACAACAUACGGUAUUAAUCCGCCUUUCGACGGGCUGUCCCAUAGUAAAGGGCAGGUUGGAUACGCGUUACUUACCCGUACGCCGGUCGCCA
Molecule: ribosomal RNA, 267 nt
Filed under: uncultured bacterium
Lineage: Bacteria
Description: partial 16S ribosomal RNA
Source: RNAcentral